GGGGCAUUAGCUCAGCUGGUAGAGCGCUUCAAUGGCAUUGAAGAGGUCAGCGGUUCGACUCCGCUAUGCUCCACCA
Molecule: transfer RNA, 76 nt
Filed under: Roseibacillus sp.
Lineage: Bacteria; Pseudomonadati; Verrucomicrobiota; Verrucomicrobiia; Verrucomicrobiales; Verrucomicrobiaceae
Also listed under: 2 other names
Description: tRNA-Ala
Rfam family: tRNA
About the family: Transfer RNA (tRNA) molecules are approximately 80 nucleotides in length. Their secondary structure includes four short double-helical elements and three loops (D, anti-codon, and T loops).
Source: RNAcentral